UUGCAGGUGACAAAGUCACUUAAACAAGUCCAGCUAGAGAGAGAUGAAUAUGCUCAACAUAUAAAAGGAGAGAGGGCCCGGUGGCAGGAGAGGAUGCAGAAAAUGUCGAUGGAGGCUCCCACAUUGAAGGAGGAGAAGAAGUGUGACAUACAUCGGAUACAGGAGCUGGAGAUGAGCUUGUCCGAACUCAAAAACCAGAUGGCUGAGCCCCCAUCCUCGGCACCCCCAGCAGGGACCUCUGAGGUGGAGCAGCUACAAGAUGAGGCCAAACACCUGAGGAAGGAGGUGGAAAGUCUGGAGGGAAAGCUCCAAUCCCAGGUGGAAAACAAUCAGGCCUUGAGUCUCCUGAGCAAGGAACAAAAGGAGAGACUCCAAGAGCAGGAGGAGAGGCUCCAAGAGCAGCAGGAGAAGCUUCAAAAGCAGGAGGAGAGGCUCCGGGAGCAGGAGGAGAGGAGGCUGCAGGAGCAGGAGAGACAGUGUGAGCAAAAGGAGAGGCUUUGGGAGCAGCAGAAGAGGCUGGGGGAGCAGGGUGAGAGGCUGCGAAUGCAGGAGGAGAGGCUCGCGCUCUCCCAGAAGCACAAGUUCAACAAGCAGCUGGCCGAGCCACAGUGCAGCUUUGAGGAUCUGAACAAUGAGAACAAAAGCACACUGCAUUGGAGCAGCAAGUAAAGCAGCUGCAGGAGAAGCUGAGCGAGGAGUGCCUAGAAGCUGCCAACCAGGAGAACCAACAGCUAGAGGCCCAGCUGAGUCUCAUGGCUCUCCCUGGCCAAGGAGAUGGAGGAGGACAUCUGGACACUGAGGAGGAGGGGGUGCCUCGGCCUAUGCCGAGUGUCCCAGAGGACCUGGAGAGCCAGGAGGCCACAAGUGGCUUUAUGGACCUCCCAAAGGAGAAGGUGGAUGGGAAGGAGCAGGUGGAGAACCUAGAGCUUGGAUUCAUCCAGCUCUCUGGAGCAACAGACGGCAUGAGAGAGCACUUCACCGUAUAUGGGAGCCAAGGGGCAGUCCCAAAUACGCGGCACCAGGAGGAGGAGGACGUCAGCAGUCUGGCCCAGAAUGAGGAGGAGAUGAACGUGAAGCUGCUGGAGCUGCAGGAGCUGGUGUUGCCGCUUGUGGGUGACCACGAGGGGCAUGACAAAUUCCCCCCCGCUGCCCAGAACCGUGGUGAUGAGCCCGCUCCAGGGGCCCCAGCCCCCCAGGAACUUGGGGCUGCCCAUGAGCAGGGUGAUUUUUAUGAGGUGAGCCUGGCCAACAGCGUGGAGCCUGCACCAGGAGAGGACAGGGAGGGUUCUCCCCAUGACAACCCCACUGCACAGAAGAUUGUACAGCUGCUUCCUGUAAUGCAGGACACCAAGGAGCACCCAGGCUUUGCCAGCAAACCCUGCGUGCCAUUCUUUUACUGGGCAGCCGAGAACAGAGAGAUAAACAUCAUCAUCAUCUGAGAGCUGGUCAAGAAAUUUAAAAAAAAAAACAAAAAAACAAUUAUGGGGUUAAUCCUCUACACAAUUCAUCUACUUCAUUGGAAUGUUAGAGCCCCUCAUGUUUAUUUAUGUUUCUAAUUUACAGUUUAAAUUUCUUUCUGAAAAGUUAAGGGAGAGUGGGUCUUUCCCUGAUGUUCACUCUGGCAUCCUUUAGCAUUUUUGUUUUUAAUUGAUAAUUGUAGGUCAUUAGCUCGCAUAUCGAGUUUGCCCUUACGUGGUGGGAGUUCAAACACACAAAACCCACUAUUUGCACAAAACUAUUCUUACUGGUUUGGAAUAGGCUGCCAUGCUUUUUAAAUGUUAUUGCAGCAUGUAUAUUCAUUACAGAAUUCAGAUAAAAUUGGCUUAUGUUCUGCUAUUGUUUGAUCGAAUCCUAAUCACAGUGAGCUCUUCAUUAGCUCAGUAUGUGGUUUGCCCUCAAGUGCGCACUGUUUCUUACUUUGUAAUAUGCCACUGUGAGUACUGACAUUUAGAGUUGUUUAAAGGCCGAGAACUGGAAACAGCCUUUCCCCUAUUUUCUGUGUACUGGGGAUGGGGGUGAUAACAUUUUGGGGAGCUUUUUAAAUCUCACAGAAGAGGAAAGUGGCCUGCUCUGGCAGGUGUGUGCAGGAUAGAGUGUGUUUCAUUUGUUCUGGUGCCAGGAAUGAGUACUAUGGUACUAUGGUAGUUCCCUGAGGAUUUGUAUGUGCUCUGGGCUCAUGAAGAUAUCGCAGCAUGAGCUGCAGCAGUUGGACUCUUUCUCAAUGACCUAAAAGGGAUUCUUUCUGAGGAAUGAAAGGCUCCCAUCAUUGACUGUGGAUGCGGAAAACCUUUUCUAGCUUAGAACAUUUAUAUCUACAAUACAUUUUAAAGUCAGAGUUCAUGUUACCUGUUUUAAUCACAUGACUACAUGUCCCAGUACACAAAAGGGCACUGCUUGGCAUUCUUCUUAGUGUAUUUAGUGAAGAUCAUAAGAAACCCUUUCAGAGUUUAAAUACCCCUGGAACAGGCAUACAGGCUCUAGUCAAGAAUGAAUUCGAGUGAAGGAAAGCUGUGUGACACCUGGCAUUCCUCUAUGUUCACGGAGCUUCUUUGAGGCUAGAAGAUUGAUUUUACCAUGUUGACCUCUCUGGCUAAUACCUAUUCUUCAGCCACAUUGGUUAAUCUGACACAGGAAUUUACUUCUUUUCCUUGAAUGGAAAACACUUUAAAAAUAAUAACAACCAUUUUAAUAAACUAAUACAUGUGAGAGUAUUGGUUGAAACAAAAAGCAGUUUUAGUGGACAGUGUUAUACUACAUUUGAAAAUCAAGGAGAAGUUUAUGCAACUUAAAAUAUUUACAAACUGCAAUGCAAUCUACUGUUUGUGAAUGUCAAAGUAUUAUGAGUAAAGGUAUCUAUACAAUCACAGAGUUAUAUUUCCUCACAAAGUUCUUUACGAAGGGUGAAAUAUGUUUUUAUACCUCUCGGUUUCAGUUAGAGGCAUAUUUUGUGCCAUAUUUAUGUUAUGUGUCUAUGCAGGAUGAAUGAAUGAUUUCAGUCAUAUGUUGCCUAAAUCAUAACUUCAUGAUGCUUGGGAAAGAAUCAACAGUUAAAACUUCAUGAAGUUCUAAUGUCUGUGUUUCAAAAUACGUCACAGUAUUAGGAUGUAGGGAGAGAUGUAUGUGCGCUCCCUGGGGUGUGCAAUUCUAGUUACUAGACCAUCUCCAUUUUUAGCAUUUGGCAUCCUCAUGAUACUUUUAUAAAUAUGACAUUAAUAGGAGAGCAAUAAUAUGAUUUUACAGAUGAAAUAGCAGAUUUGCCUGCAUUCACUGAAAGAGUACAAAUAUUGGUCCUUCAACUGACUCUUUCAAAUUGUAUGAAUUUAUUAAUGUAUUGGAUAAACCCAGUUUCAGAAUGAUAAAGAAAAACUGUCAGACCAAAUAGUGUGGGUAAUUAGCAGUGGUACAGUUUCUAAAUACCGCUCUUUGUGUAGGGAUUUUGUCCUAUGUUUCAGAAAAAUCUAAAAAGAAUGGAAAUCCUAUGACAAUAACUUAAGUGUUUCUUCAAAGCAUGCAGUCUUUGCAAUACCUCAUUCAGCCAAGUAUUUGUUCUCUUCCUCAUUCGGUAUAAGGCAGCUUUCAAUCUGCUUAGAAGGCAACAUUAGAAGGUUAGAGUUCAUCAGAAAUACAGAAUUUUAAAAUGUGAGUUCAACUGAAUAAAAUUGAAUUUCUGUAGGAAGUAAAGAAUCAAAAUACCUAUUUAAAGAUUGCAAUAUAUGGUCAUUAUUUUUAAAGUAUCUGAUUAAACCUGAUAGGUUUUCCAGAAAUGAAAAAAAAAAUCAGUUCAAAAACUAAAGCUGAUUUUUAGAAAAUGUGAAAAUGUAAAUCAGCCCUAUCCAUAAUAUUUUCUCUAAAACUUUAUCUUACAGAGUCACUUUAAGAUGAUAUAACUAUUCAAAAAUGUAACUGCUAUGUUAAUGUUUUAAAGUAAGUUAAAACACCUUAAAAUAUGAAUACUGUAGUUUAAAGCAAAGAA
Cercocebus atys (sooty mangabey) is the source of this 3973-nucleotide RNA transcript. It is a transcript of the gene named putative golgin subfamily A member 6B, with no coding region annotated. The transcript has 10 exons. The record is from RefSeq and is a predicted model, not a curated record. NCBI's taxonomy places the organism in Eukaryota, Metazoa, Chordata, Mammalia, Primates, Cercopithecidae.